Molecule: ribosomal RNA, 468 nt
Filed under: uncultured bacterium
Lineage: Bacteria
Description: partial 16S ribosomal RNA
Rfam family: Bacterial small subunit ribosomal RNA
Source: RNAcentral
GACGAACGCUGGCGGCGUGCUUAACACAUGCAAGUCGAACGGAAAGGCCCUGCUUUUGUGGGGUGCUCGAGUGGCGAACGGGUGAGUAACACGUGAGUAACCUGCCCUUGACUUUGGGAUAACUUCAGGAAACUGGGGCUAAUACCGGAUAGGAGCUCCUGCUGCAUGGUGGGGGUUGGAAAGUUUCGGCGGUUGGGGAUGGACUCGCGGCUUAUCAGCUUGUUGGUGGGGUAGUGGCUUACCCAGGCUUCGACGGGUAGCCGGCCUGAGAGGGUGAACGGCCACAUUGGGACUGAGAUACGGCCCAGACUCCUACGGGAGGCAGCAGUGGGGAAUAUUGCACAAUGGGCGGAAGCCUGAUGCAGCAACGCCGCGUGCGGGAUGAAGGCCUUCGGGUUGUAAACCGCUUUCGCCUGUGACGAAGCGUGAGUGACGGUAAUGGGUAAAGAAGCACCGGCUAACUACGUG